GAUGAACGCUGGCGGCGUGCCUAAUACAUGCAAGUCGAGCGAACGGACGAGAAGCUUGCUUCUCUGAUGUUAGCGGCGGACGGGUGAGUAACACGUGGAUAACCUACCUAUAAGACUGGGAUAACUUCGGGAAACCGUAGCUAAUACCGGAUAAUAUUUUGAACCGCAUGGUUCAAAAGUGAAAGACGGUCUUGCUGUCACUUAUAGAUGGAUCCGCGCUGCAUUAGCUAGUCGGUAAGGUAACGGCUUACCAAGGCAACGAUGCAUAGCCGACCUGAGAGGGUGAUCGGCCACACUGGAACUGAGACACGGUCCAGACUCCUACGGGAGGCAGCAGUAGGGAAUCUUCCGCAAUGGGCGAAAGCCUGACGGAGCAACGCCGCGUGAGUGAUGAAGGUCUUCGGACCGUAAAACUCUGUUAUUAGGGAAGAACAUAUGUGUAAGUAACUGUGCACAUCCUGACGGUACCUAAUCAGAAAGCCACGGCUAACUACGUG
This 497-nucleotide ribosomal RNA is filed under the name uncultured bacterium. Its description in RNAcentral is "partial 16S ribosomal RNA". It matches the Rfam family "Bacterial small subunit ribosomal RNA", at positions 28 to 507 of the family's 1533-position model. The record is from RNAcentral.